Molecule: ribosomal RNA, 261 nt
Filed under: uncultured bacterium
Lineage: Bacteria
Description: partial 16S ribosomal RNA
Rfam family: Bacterial small subunit ribosomal RNA
Source: RNAcentral
GUCCAUGCCGUAAACGAUGGAUACUUGUUGUUGGAGGUAUUGACCCCUUCAGUGACGAAGCUAACGCGUUAAGUAUCCCGCCUGGGAAGUACGGUCGCAAGAUUAAAACUCAAAGAAAUUGACGGGGGCCCGCACAAGCGGUGGAGCAUGUGGUUUAAUUCGAUGCAACGCGAAAACCUUACCUGGGUUUGACAUACAGUGGAAGAUCUCUAGAGAUAGGAUCGCCUUCGGGCCGCUGUACAGGUGCUGCAUGGCUGUCGU